Long non-coding RNA from Clarias gariepinus (North African catfish), 5057 nucleotides. RefSeq lists it as uncharacterized. The transcript has 5 exons. NCBI's taxonomy places the organism in Eukaryota, Metazoa, Chordata, Actinopteri, Siluriformes, Clariidae. The record is from RefSeq and is a predicted model, not a curated record.
CGCGCUCGCACAAGGUGUCUCGGUCAUCUCGGAAACGCUGGACGGACAGCGAGCCGGCGGCGUGACGGGAACUUGUAAAACACAAAUCAUCCGGGUCAUCAGUGUUCAAUAGUUUGUCCUGUGUACAGUCUACAGCCAGCUGCCGCAUCAGAGUCAGCGCAGAAAUCCUGAUGCAGCGCAGUGCACGCGCUAUACGGGUGUUACUGAGGGGGAGGUUCUAGAAUGGGGCUGUUGGAACAGUUGUACUCAUCAGUCAUUUUUCCAGUUAACGAAGAGUGGAGCAUGCUCCCAGGCACACAGGCAAACCGAUGAGCAGGAGGAGAUCCCGGGAAAGUGGAGAAACGUGACUCCUCUUGGAAGCUGGUUUCAGAUGGUGGCUUAGAGUGUUCCUGUCAGUAUCUAGCACCAUUUGAAAUCAGUGUUCUUGGGGUGGGAGAAACAUCCUUCUGUUUGUAAAAACCCUGUGGUUUCUGUGUUUUUCUCUAAAUUGAUACAUGAUUUUGAAAAUUCAGUUUUACUUAGUUUACUAAACAUCUAGAUCAUGUCCUGUCACCAAGGCUGACCGAUUUCUUCUGGUGUUCAGAGUCUUUUGGGGUUUCUAGCACCAUUUGAAAUCGGUUACAAUGAAGGACAGAAACCGGCGUUUAAAGAAAAGAAAUGAAUAAUUUUCUGCUGCCUGCUACAUUACUGAAGAGAUGUUUGUGGAAAGUGGUAAGUUGCAGAACUAUUACACAGAUAAAUAAAUGCCAUAGGUUGGACGAUUUUUUUUAUUCAUAAAAUACUGUAAGAGUAGCAAUCAGAUAUAUUGUUCACUACCAGUCAAAAGUUUGGACACUCCUUCUAACUCCAUUGUCUUUCCAGAUUUUUAUUUCUUUCUACACUGUAAAGCAAUGCUGAAGGCAUUUAAAAUAUGCAAUAAUCUCCUUUCAACAGUUGAUAUUGAGAUGUGUCCGCUUCUUAUGCUCUGUAAUGCUUUCAUAAUGCUUUCGAAAACUGGGGAUUUUUGAGGUUGGUAACUCUAAGUGAACUUCUUUUCUGCAGCAGAGGUACUGCAAGUUUUGGUCUUGCUUUCCUGGAAUGGUCUUGAUGAGCACCAGUUUAAUCAUGGUGCUUGAUGGGUUUGCAAAUGGUGGUUUCACACAGGAAUUAAGUAUGCAUAUUACACUAUACACAAGUAUCGACAUCCUAUGGUUAAAUGGAUAUUGGCACCUAACCAUUACACCCAUGCUUGGUUAAAUGGAUUUUGACCUCAUUUGCUGUCGAAACACUUGGCGCCAUUUCUGGGAAGGCUUUCUACAAGAUUUUGAAAAGUGUCAAUGGGAUUCAUGUGUCCAUUCAUGUCAUAUAAUACUUGGGAAGUCUGGAAAGCUCAGCUCACCUUUAACGUUUUUUUUUUUUUUAGUUGGGUUAAGGUCAGGGCUCUGUGCAGGUCACUUAAGUUCCUCCACACUGGAGAUAUUAAACCAUGUCUUUAUGUCAGGGCACAGUCUUGCUGGAACAGGAAAUCCAUGGAUACCCUUUUCAUGAAGCUUCCAAAGCAUAGUUCUUAUGCUGAUAUUGCUUCCUGGGGCAGUUUGGAACUCUGCAGUGAUUUAAUAAAGGAUAAGUGAUUUCUUUUAAUAUCUUACAUGCUUCAGAACAUUUGCCAGCACCACUUUGCAUUUGUGAUGUAUUGCUCCGUAGCUGAGGUGCUGUCUUAGAUGCUUCCAUUCCACUAACUUACAGUUGACCAGGACAGACCAGGCAUCUUGUGAUGGGGCUACAUUUAAAGUUAGCCUCUUCAAUAUUACCUAUUCUACUCCCAGUGCUUGUCUAUGGAGAUUGCGUGGCUUUUUUUUUUUUUUUGAAAACAUGGAACACAUUUCUGACAGUUGGCAAAACCACAUAAAAAAAACAAACAGAUGUUUUGCUAUGCCGAAUGUCUACAAGAAGUCAGUGGGGAGAGUUUUCUCAGUAUGCUCAGAGCCAUGAUCAGACUGCCUCCUUCAUGUAUGAAAUGUUGUCCUUCUAGGAAGUCUUUAAUAGCCCAAACAUGUGGAAAUGGAGCACGUUCAGGACUGUACUGAGGAUGUGGCAAUAACCCCCAGACGUUUCUGUAAUUUGCAAGUGGUGUUCGGGAAUGAUUGUUUAUACAGUUAUACAGUUGCCACAGACAGAUGCUUCACUUCCUCAAGCUGGGGACAAGUUAUCAACAAUCUUCAAGGAUCAGCCAAAACUACUCACUGCAUGGUUACUGGAACGACUGCAAAAGGCUCAGAGCCACCUCGGCUGGGAUCGUCAUUCAUGGACAUAAUGCUUCUGUCAUUACGUCUUAUAUCUUCAUUCAUGGGAAAUUCCAUCUCAAGUCUGGGUUUGACUUUUAACUCUCCAAGUACUUAACUACUGGUACUUUUGAUUUGCAGAUAAACCUUUUUGUUCUACCAGAAAUUAUUGUGAAGGAUUGUAUUAAUAAUAUAUUCUUUCAUAACUUAAACACCGCAUAUUCUGGGUUUAUACUAUAUGAUUAUAAACCCACUUACUAUAUAAGUAAUAGUUAUGCUGCAUUGCAUAAUACAUUUGAAAUUUGUAAAUGCAGCAUUAGUAGUAUUAGCCUACUCUUAAUUAAGAGUUUAAAAGCCAGUGUAUUUUUUUUUGCAAUUUCUUUUAAAAAAUAUAUAUAUUAUUUGCAUCAUGCUUUAAACAAGAAAUUGCCAGAAAGUUAGGUGUGCAAGAACAUGAGCCAACCAAACUGAAUGGAAUUAAGGGGAAUGCCCACUGCAUGCCAUGCCAUCCCAAAUAGCAUCUGAGGCCAUUUUGGCUGAAUGGGCACAAGCCCCAAUAACCACAUUAUAAAUCUAAAGUAAUGCUUUUCCAAAAGAUUAAAGGCUGUUAAAGCGGCAGCAAGUGAACCAAAUCCAUGUUAAUGCCCAUGAUUUUGGUCUAUGACGUUCAGGAAAAGAUUCAGCUGUCCACAAAUAUUUGAUCAUUAAACACAGUUGUAGAAGAGUAAAGCCAAACUGUUUUUUGCGCUGAAAGAGUCUUCAACAUAAGCUUACUGCAAAUACGCAUCUUGGAAUUAACAGUGGAAAUUAUUGCAAAAUCACACCAGGAUCUCUAGCCAUAUGUGUAGUUACCGGCUCUCAACAGUGUCAUUGGUGAUUCAUUAAUCCAGUAUCCAAGAGUUCUGUUGUGUACAGAUUACAUUUCAGAUGAUGUAUCUCUCAAAAAAAGAGGCUUCUUUUAAAACACUGAAGAAGUGGAAGAAGGAAAAGCAUUAUCAGUGUAACAGUGAUAUGGGUCCCAACCAGUGAUCUAGACAUGACACUAGAAAUGUAGUCUUGAGUUCAGGUCCAGUGUAAACAUAACCAGGAUGAAAACAAAAAAAAAUAUGAUAGAGAACAAGAGUGAAACAAGAACUAAUUUCUGGGGAAAUCCAACAGUAAUGCUUUAAACUAAUGAUACCUGACCUGUGCAUGCUAUCUGAAAAGGCUAAAGCUCCUAUAGAUUUAUCAAAGACGAAGUCAGAGCAAAUCUGAUGUCCAAGUCAGCAAGAGUGGAGAUUAGAAUUUGGUGAUUUACUGGUCCAGAAGGUUGAGAACAGAGAUGGUAGAUUUCUCUGCCUUUGUGUGGGGUCUCAUUGCCUAGAAUGUAAGUGACUUGUCACGCAGGCUUGAUGACUAAUGAAUGCCUGAAUGGUGGUGACCUUUGCGAAGUUCAUCAUAAAUUCACUAGAAGAGAACAAGAGAGAGAGGUAAUCGGUGCCUGACACUCUUGGAAUGUCAAAAUUUUCCCCAUUACAUCUGCAAAGAGCAAGAUAGCGGUGUUGAUGUGAAAGGAUGGGGAAAUAACAUUUCUUAUGAAGGAAAUAGUUGUGGCUUUGGCACAAGAAAAUGGUCCGAGGGGUCAAAUGGAAUAGUGUGUGAAAAACAUACUGUAAACUGUAUAAAACUAACCCUCUGUGAAGCUGACGUCGCCUAAACCUCUGGUUAAUCCAUCAAUGGGCAAAUGAGCAGAACAAAGAGAGACUGGCUGUUGUUUGGAACAUACCUAUCUAACUCAGUUACCACCCAGAAGCUAGCAAGCUUAGCUUCAACAGUUAAAAUCCAAUAGUGACUCACGUUAAUUCAUAUGCUGAUGCAUUUAAUUGAACAUUGCUAGCAGUCCUAAUUAUUCAUCUUUAUAGCUUGAUGUAACUGUAACUGAUUAGUAACAUAAAAAUACACCAAUAACAGUUGUCGUGAAUUGGAAAUCUAGCUAUGGAAACCAAACUGUUCUUCGUUUUAUGUUGUAAACGUAUUUAUUUCCUUAUCUUAACAUGUGGAUUGACUCACUUUUGGAGCCAGCCCCCGGUGGACAUUCAAGGAACUUCUUGUUUUCUCAAUUGUGCAUUGGCUCCAUUUUUCAGAGCUACAGUAGAGGAUGCACCUUGGUGAAAACAAGAUUGUUGCUAGCGUUUAACAAUUGUUUGCUUGUUGCUAACAAGCAAACAGUUGCUUGUUGCUAGCGAAAACAAGAUCGUUGCUAGCGUUUAUGAUUGACCAGGACAGAAUCUACAGUUGCUACAACUCCACAUGAGCAAACAAAACUAUUCCACACAAAACAAAAAAACAAAAACAAAUGUUAUCACAACCUUUAUUACAUUUUAUUGACAAUUUAUUAUGAUGGUUUAUGUGAAAAAAAUAUAAAAUAUGACCAUUGUAAAAUAGUCACUGGACACCAACAAUGUAAAAAUCAAAGUAAAUUACUUAACAAAAAGUUGGGGGAGGAGACGACAGGGUUAUUUGACGGGAAAUUAAAAAAAAAGUUUAAUAUUUAACUAUUAAAUAUUAGUAUUCCUAAAUGCUGUUAUACAUAUACAGCACUCACUCCUAUGAUCAGUCAUGCACACACAUUUAGUUUGCAUUCUUUCCCUGUUCCUGAACUGGAAACCAGUGAAUUUUUGUGUGUGUCUGUGUGCGUGUGAGGGAGAGAUCCUUUCUCUCUUUCACACCUACAAGUGGAUGUUGAUCAAACAUUAAACUUACCCAUCAUCUAAUGUCCAUUUAAUCUGAAAAUAAAAUUAAAGGGUUUGACUUCAA